CAUCUGUGCCAGGCCAAGGAGACAGAUUGGAGAUGCUGCUGCUGUACCACCCAGGGGCCUUCCUGACUGAACUGGCAGAGGCAGUAUUUAGUAUGGUGUUGUCCUCGGACUUUAGUGUCCAUGCUGAGGGUGCUUCCACUGGUAUGGCUCAAGACUUCAAUACCUCCAUGGCAACCAUGGAGUUGUCUCGACUGAUCAUUGGCCUGUCACAUACUGCAGGACAUACUCUUGAUUUGAUCUUUGCUCUGGUGGGGUUGGUGACUGGUUAGGAUAGACUUCCCUGAACACUAAUGGAUUCCUGAACACUCCGGGGGAUUUUCUGGUGGAUCCUGUUAAGGCCCUCAUCUCACUGUAGAAUGAUGAAAUGCAGAAGGCCAUCGGUACAAUGGCUCCUGAGUGCCCUCUCUGUUGUUGUUGACUAUAUUUGGCUCACUGGUAUACUACAUGCUGUGAAGGUGGCAAAGACAAGAGCAUAUAACUGUGCCUACUGUGCAGCAGUGAAAACAGAUCCAGCAGAGCUCUUCAAGGUGGUCUGUCAGCUGUUGACAUCUGUAUCGUUUGAUGGAACCUGUAACACAUCCAAAUCCCCCUGUGAGUUUCUUGCUAUGCGUUUUGAGGACAAAGCCGUUCACCUGUGUAUAAGGCAAGGCAAGAAUUCCAUUGGUGCAUAAAAUACCUUUUGGAAGGAGAUAACGGAACC
Rhineura floridana is the source of this 700-nucleotide long non-coding RNA. RefSeq lists it as uncharacterized. The transcript has 3 exons. NCBI's taxonomy places the organism in Eukaryota, Metazoa, Chordata, Lepidosauria, Squamata, Rhineuridae. The record is from RefSeq and is a predicted model, not a curated record.